UACAGGGGGGGCAAGCGUUGUUCGGAAUUACUGGGCGUAAAGGGCUCGUAGGUGGCCAACUAAGUCAGACGUGAAAUCCCUCGGCUUAACCGGGGAACUGCGUCUGAUACUGAUUGGCUUGAGUGUGGGAGAGGGAUGCGGAAUUCCAGGUGUAGCGGUGAAAUGCGUAGAUAUCUGGAGGAACACCGGUGGCGAAGGCGGCAUCCUGGACCACGACUGACGCUGAGGAGCGAAAGCCAGGGGAGCAAACGGG
RNAcentral lists this ribosomal RNA (253 nucleotides) under uncultured bacterium. Its description in RNAcentral is "partial 16S ribosomal RNA". It matches the Rfam family "Bacterial small subunit ribosomal RNA", at positions 524 to 776 of the family's 1533-position model. The record is from RNAcentral.